This 357-nucleotide ribosomal RNA is filed under the name uncultured bacterium. Its description in RNAcentral is "bacterial SSU rRNA". It matches the Rfam family "Bacterial small subunit ribosomal RNA", at positions 794 to 1157 of the family's 1533-position model. The record is from RNAcentral.
UCCACGCCGUAAACGAUGGAUACUCGUUCUUGGCAAUACACAGUCAGGGACUGAGCGAAAGCAUUAAGUAUCCCACCUGGGGAGUACGUUCGCAAGAAUGAAACUCAAAGGAAUUGACGGGGGCCCGCACAAGCGGAGGAACAUGUGGUUUAAUUCGAUGAUACGCGAGGAACCUUACCUGGGCUUAAAUGUCAGGCAUUUUCGGAUGUAGUCUGUCGAAAGCAGCUUAAACUGGCAAGGUGCUGCAUGGUUGUCGUCAGCUCGUGCCGUGAGGUGUCGGGUUAAGUCCCAUAACGAGCGCAACCCUUAUCCUUAGUUGCCAUCAGUUCGGCUGGGCACUCUAGGGAACUGCCAUCG